RNAcentral lists this ribosomal RNA (471 nucleotides) under uncultured bacterium. Its description in RNAcentral is "partial 16S ribosomal RNA". It matches the Rfam family "Bacterial small subunit ribosomal RNA", at positions 28 to 507 of the family's 1533-position model. The record is from RNAcentral.
GACGAACGCUGGCGGCGUGCUUAGCACAUGCAAGUCGAACGAUGAAGCCUAGCUUGCUGGGUGGAUUAGUGGCGAACGGGUGAGUAAUACGUGAGUAACCUACCUUUAACUCUGGGAUAAGCCUGGGAAACUGGGUCUAAUACCGGAUACGACCAAUCUCCGCAUGGGGUGUUGGUGGAAAGCGUUAUGUAGUGGUUAUAGAUGGGCUCACGGCCUAUCAGCUUGUUGGUGAGGUAACGGCUCACCAAGGCGACGACGGGUAGCCGGCCUGAGAGGGUGACCGGCCACACUGGGACUGAGACACGGCCCAGACUCCUACGGGAGGCAGCAGUGGGGAAUAUUGCACAAUGGGCGCAAGCCUGAUGCAGCGACGCCGCGUGAGGGAUGACGGCCUUCGGGUUGUAAACCUCUGUUAGCAGGGAAGAAGAGAAAUUGACGGUACCUGCAGAGAAAGCGCCGGCUAACUACGUG